This 231-nucleotide long non-coding RNA is filed under the name Elaeis guineensis (African oil palm). RNAcentral describes it as "long non-coding RNA (EGUI_LNC055997)". Lineage: Eukaryota; Viridiplantae; Streptophyta; Magnoliopsida; Arecales; Arecaceae. The record is from RNAcentral.
GUGGGAUCAAUCCAUACUCGUCAGACGUGCUACAUUGUACAUCGUACGCUUGCGGUAAAUUUAAGAUACAUCAAUGUACUCUUACAUCUCACCUGCAUGCCAUACUAGUGUUUCUACACUAUUUGGUUACGAAGACAACCAAUGCAUAUGGCACACAACGACCUACAUUUGAUAUUGCUAUCAUCCUAGUAAUAGCGUAUCGUUUGGUCAUGAACUAAUUUAAGGACUAUG